UGUGUUAGUGGAAGCGUCUGGAAAGGCGCGCGAUACAGGGUGACAGCCCCGUACACAAAAAUGCACAUGCUGUGAGCUCGAUGAGUAGGGCGGGACACGUGGUAUCCUGUCUGAAUAUGGGGGGACCAUCCUCCAAGGCUAAAUACUCCUGACUGACCGAUAGUGAACCAGUACCGUGAGGGAAAGGCGAAAAGAACCCCGGCGAGGGGAGUGAAAAAGAACCUGAAACCGUGUACGUACAAGCAGUGGGAGCACGCUUAGGCGUGUGACUGCGUACCUUUUGUAUAAUGGGUCAGCGACUUAUAUUCUGUAGCAAGGUUAACCGAAUAGGGGAGCCGAAGGGAAACCGAGUCUUAACUGGGCGUUAAGUUGCAGGGUAUAGACCCGAAACCCGGUGAUCUAGCCAUGGGCAGGUUGAAGGUUGGGUAACACUAACUGGAGGACCGAACCGACUAAUGUUGAAAAAUUAGCGGAUGACUUGUGGCUGGGGGUGAAAGGCCAAUCAAACCGGGAGAUAGCUGGUUCUCCCCGAAAGCUAUUUAGGUAGCGCCUCGUGAAUUCAUCUCCGGGGGUAGAGCACUGUUUCGGCAAGGGGGUCAUCCCGACUUACCAACCCGAUGCAAACUGCGAAUACCGGAGAAUGUUAUCACGGGAGACACACGGCGGGUGCUAACGUCCGUCGUGAAGAGGGAAACAACCCAGACCGCCAGCUAAGGUCCCAAAGUCAUGGUUAAGUGGGAAACGAUGUGGGAAGGCCCAGACAGCCAGGAUGUUGGCUUAGAAGCAGCCAUCAUUUAAAGAAAGCGUAAUAGCUCACUGGUCGAGUCGGCCUGCGCGGAAGAUGUAACGGGGCUAAACCAUGCACCGAAGCUGCGGCAGCGACACUGUGUGUUGUUGGGUAGGGGAGCGUUCUGUAAGCCUGC
This 923-nucleotide ribosomal RNA is filed under the name Escherichia coli. RNAcentral describes it as "partial 23S ribosomal RNA". It matches the Rfam family "Bacterial large subunit ribosomal RNA", at positions 325 to 1252 of the family's 2925-position model. The record is from RNAcentral. Lineage: Bacteria; Pseudomonadati; Pseudomonadota; Gammaproteobacteria; Enterobacterales; Enterobacteriaceae.